GAAAGUAAGCAAGGGCAGACGGUGGAUGCCUUGGCUCUCGGAGGCGAUGAAGGACGUGAUAAGCUGCGAUAAGCUUGGGGUAGGUGCAAAUAACCUUUGAUCCCAAGAUUUCCGAAUGGGGCAACCCGGCUGGUGGAAGGCCAGUCAUUCCGUAAGGAAGGCGAACGUGGGGAACUGAAACAUCUAAGUACCCAUAGGAGAAGAAAACAAAAGUGAUUCCGCAAGUAGUGGCGAGCGAACGCGGAACAGCCCAAACCGAUGAUGUUUAGGCAUUGUCGGGGUAGUAGGACCACGUUGUGGCAAGAGAUUAAUGAAGUAGAACGUUUUGGAACAAACGGCCGUAGACGGUGAAAGCCCGGUAUACGACUCUUUAACGAAGCCUAGUGGAAUCCUGAGUAGCGCGGAGCACGAGAAAUUCUGUGUGAAUCAGCGGGGCCCAUCCCGUAAGGCUAAAUACUCCCGAGAGACCGAUAGCGAACCAGUACUGUGAAGGAAAGGUGAAAAGCACCUCGAACAGAGGAGUGAAAUAGUCCCUGAAACCGUCUGCCUACAAGCGGUCGGAGCACAUUAAAGUGUGACGGCGUGCCUUUUGCAUAAUGAACCUACGAGUUACUUUCUCCGGCAAGGUUAAGGGCUUCAGGCCCGGAGCCGAAGCGAAAGCGAGUCUUAAUAGGGCGUGAUAGUCGGAGUGAGUAGACGCGAAACCAAGUGAUCUACCCUUGGUCAGGAUGAAGGUUGGGUAACACCAACUGGAGGUCCGAAUGGGUAUACGUUGAAAAGUGUUCCAAUGAACUGAGGGUAGGGGUGAAAGGCUAAUCAAACUUGGAGAUAGCUCGUACUCCCCGAAAUGCAUUUAGGUGCAGCCUUUAUUUAGUAUAGCAUGAGGUAGAGCGACUGAUUGGAUGCGAGGGCUUCACCGCCUAUCAAGUCCAGAUAAACUCCGAAUGCGUGCUAUAUAUUGAUAAGGAGUGAGGGCGCGGGUGCUAAGGUCCGCGUCCGAGAGGAGAAGAAUCCAGACCAUCAGCUAAGGUCCCCAAAUAACAGUUAAGUUGAACUAACGAAGUCGGACUGCAGAGACAGCUAGGAUGUUGGCUUGGAAGCAGCCAUUCAUUUAAAGAGUGCGUAACAGCUCACUAGUCGAGGAGUCCGGCGUGGAUAAUACUCGGGCAUAAACUGUUUACCGAAGCUAUGGAUGUAGAAAUACAUGGUAGGGGAGCAUUCCAACGGCGUCGAAGGUGAAGGAUGACCUUUGCUGGAGCUUUUGGAAACGCAAAUGUAGGUAUAAGUAACGAUAAAGGAGGUGAGAAACCUCCUCGCCGAAAGACUAAGGUUUCCUGAUCAACGUUAAUCGGAUCAGGGUAAGUCGGGACCUAAGGUUAAGCCGAACGGCGAUACCGAUGGAAGAAUGGUUUAAUAUUCCCAUACUACUUUAUGGAGCGAUGUGGAGACGGAGAAGUGAAAGUCCUGCCAUCUGACGGAAUAGGUGGUUGAAGAGUGUAGAUGUAGAUUCCUGUAGGCAAAUCCGCAGGGAGAGUCGACCUUGACAGUAUGCCGCGUGCUUGCACAAGGCAAAAUGGACGUAAUCAGGCUCCCAAGAAAAUCCGCUAAGCAUAUUCAUAAAGUACCCGUACCGUAAACGGACACACGUAGUUGGGUUGAAAAUACUGAGGCGCUCGAGUGAUUCACGGUUAAGGAACUAGGCAAAUUGACCCUGUAACUUCGGGAUAAAGGGUCCCUACUGAGAGGUAGGGCGCAGAGAAUAGGUCCAGGCAACUGUUUAACAAAAACACAUGGCUGUGCGAAAUAGAAAUAUGAAGUAUACAGCCUGACACCUGCCCGGUGCUGGAAGGUUAAGAGGAGAGCUCAUCGCAAGAGAAGGCUUGAAUUGAAGCCCCAGUAAACGGCGGCCGUAACUAUAACGGUCCUAAGGUAGCGAAAUUCCUUGUCGGGUAAGUUC
Molecule: ribosomal RNA, 1957 nt
Filed under: human gut metagenome
Description: bacterial LSU rRNA
Rfam family: Bacterial large subunit ribosomal RNA
Source: RNAcentral